AGCGAACGUUAGCGGCGGGCCUAACACAUGCUAGUCGUGCGAGAAAGUCGGCUUCGGUCGGCGAGUAAAGCGGCGCACGGGUGAGUAACACGUGGAUAAUCUGCCCUUCGGUGGGGGAUAACUUUCCGAAAGGAUUGCUAAUACCGCAUAAGACCACGUCCUCUUCGGGGGAUGAGGUCAAAGACGGCCUCUUCAUGAAAGCUGUCGUCGAAGGAUGAGUCCGCGGCCCAUCAUGCUAGUUGGUAGGGUAACGGCCUACCAAGGCGAAGACGGGUAGCUGGUCUGAGAGGAUGACCAGCCACACUGGAACUGAGACACGGUCCAGACUCCUACGGGAGGCAGCAGUGGGGAAUAUUGGGCAAUGGGCGAAAGCCUGACCCAGCCACGCCGCGUGAGUGAUGAAGGCCUUCGGGUCGUAAAGCUCUGUGGGGAGGGAAGAAACCUUCGAGGGAACAAUACCCCUCGGACUUGACGGUACCUCCUUAGCAAGCACCGGCUAACUCCGUGCCAGCAGCCGCGGUAAUACGGAGGGUGCAAACGUUGCUCGGAAUCAUUGGGCGUAAAGCGUGUGUAGGCGGCCUGUUAAGUCGGGUGUGAAAGCCCCGGGCUCAACCCGGGAAGUGCAUUCGAUACUGGCAGGCUUGAGUACGGGAGAGGGUCGCGGAAUUCCCGGUGUAGAGGUGAAAUUCGUAGAUAUCGGGAGGAACACCAGUGGCGAAGGCGGCGACCUGGACCGAUACUGACGCUGAGACACGAAAGCGUGGGGAGCAAACAGGAUUAGAUACCCUGGUAGUCCACGCUGUAAACGAUGGGUGCUAGGUGUCGUGGGUAUUGACCCCUGCGGUGCCGAAGUUAACGCAUUAAGCACCCCGCCUGGG
RNAcentral lists this ribosomal RNA (878 nucleotides) under uncultured bacterium. RNAcentral's name for it is "bacterial SSU rRNA". It matches the Rfam family "Bacterial small subunit ribosomal RNA", at positions 28 to 877 of the family's 1533-position model. The record is from RNAcentral.